RNAcentral lists this ribosomal RNA (468 nucleotides) under uncultured bacterium. RNAcentral's name for it is "partial 16S ribosomal RNA". It matches the Rfam family "Bacterial small subunit ribosomal RNA", at positions 28 to 507 of the family's 1533-position model. The record is from RNAcentral.
GACGAACGCUGGCGGCGUGCUUAACACAUGCAAGUCGAACGGAAAGGCCCUGCUUUUGUGGGGUGCUCGAGUGGCGAACGGGUGAGUAACACGUGAGUAACCUGCCCUUGACUUUGGGAUAACUCCAGGAAACUGGGGCUAAUACCGGAUAGGAGCUCCUGCUGCAUGGUGUUGUUUGGAGAGUUUCGGCGUUUGGGGAUGGACGCGCGGGUUAUCAGCUUGUUGGUGGGGUAGUGGCAUACCAAGGCUUUGACGGGUAGCCGGCCUGAGAGGGUGACCGGCCACAUUGGGACUGAGAUAGGGCCCAGACUCGUACGGGAGGCAAGAGUGGAAAAUAUUGCACAAUGGGCGGAAGUGUGAUGCAGCAACGCCGCGUGCGGGAUGACCGCUUUCGGGGUGAAAACCGAUUUCGACUGUGACGAAGCGUGAGUGACGGUAAUGGGUAAAGAAGCACCGGCUAACUACGUG